GCAGUUAAAGAGCUCUGCUCUGACACUCAGCUCGUGAUAAGAAAGUCUCCGCGGGGUGGCGGGGUGUAUACACGCAGUCACGAGAAGGUUACAUCCUAUCAGACAGCAUUCACUGUUUGCAGCCCACGUUUCCCAUGUUCCUAAAUCACAUGCGUUACAGGCAUGAUUGGAUUUACUGAUCGCUGCUGAGAGAGGCAAUUUUAUUUUCCUCUUUCAUUAACAAUUAGCUUUCAACAAUUGUGACCUUCAUCCUGUAUUAUCUCUUAACGUGAAUUCAUAGUAAUUUAACUGCUAUGUACUCUGAAAUGCGAUGUAGAUAGGCACAUGCAUAAUACCUUGUUUACCUCAAUUCUUAUUGUUUGUAUUUUCAUAUGUAAGGGGACUGUUGGCCCCUUACUCACACCCAGUGAGUAUUUUGCUUGGUAAGCGCCCAGUCUCAAAUGAAGGGGAAGGGUUUUUGAGAAAUCAGAACCAUGAAACUGAGCCCCAGGAGCAAAGAGAGAGUCCAGUCUACAUGUCAGCCUGACUGCCAGGCCAAGGAGGGAGUGAGGAGGCUCGGGUGAGUCCCGUCCUCUGUCACAGCUUAAUUUCUUGGGUCAGACAGAGUGGGUCUGAACUAAGGAGACAUUUGCCUGAGCUGAACUGGGAGGAUUCAUGGCACCCAGAGACACAGCCCAGCAGCAGAGCCAUGCUGGGAGCAGGGCUGCAGGGGUCAGAGAAGCAGCCCAGAAGCUGGAGGCAAUGUGGCAGAGCAUGGAGCUGGGGCUGGUGCAGAGAGCAGGGAGAUCCUGGGCAAAGGCCCAGCGCAGGGGUACUCCACUAGCCAAGAGGCGUUGCAGACCAAAUAUCCUUCUAGCCCAGUAUCCUGUCUCCCAACAGUGGCCAAGGACAGGUGCCCCAGAGGGAAUGAACAGAACAGACAGUUGGUGACAGGAUUGAGUAGGUCCUAAGGCGUCCUGCUACACCUAGCCUCCAAAAGUGCAGUAGAGAGGUGGCCUAAGCUGCCGUGUGGGACGCAGCCAAUCAGAGCCCAGCAGGCUAGUAUAAGAUGAGCUGCAAGGCAUGAGUGAAGACAGUUCCUUGCUAGAAUUGAAGGAGCGUGGAUGGUGUUCCAGGCUGGCUACUGGAAUGCCACAAGGACAAGUCCCUGAGGGGGCUGAGUGAGAGAAGACCCACCACACACAGCUAGAGAGUGCACAGGAAGAUGCACUUGGCCAGUCGGUGCUCGUGUGAGGGCUGAGCAGGCAUCCGCUCCUAAGCAGAUGACAAGGACUCCUCGUGGUGAAGAGAUGACCCACAGAGGAGAGUAAUUCACCUGAACAGAUGCCCCGAUGACAAGCAGCAUAGUCUGUUGCUUUAGAGAAUGGGACCAGGAGGUAUGUGACCUGCAUUAACUCGUUCGACGUGGCGCUAGUGUAUUUGUAUUCAGUCACCCACGUGAUCCACGCUCCCUGAGAGUGAGUACGGGGAUUUACGGUGGAAUAUAACAGGCGAUCACAUCACUGACUGACUUCGCGUGCAGCACUGAGUAGUGACCUCAUCAUCCCCACUUUCUGGCUAACCUGACAUUACACAGGGACACUUAUUGUGGCAAACAAAUGAAAAUUGUUUUCAAUAAAAUUCAU
Molecule: non-coding RNA, 1625 nt
Organism: Pelodiscus sinensis (Chinese soft-shelled turtle)
Lineage: Eukaryota; Metazoa; Chordata; Testudines; Trionychidae
Source: RefSeq, a predicted model, not a curated record